This 300-nucleotide ribosomal RNA is filed under the name uncultured bacterium. RNAcentral's name for it is "bacterial SSU rRNA". It matches the Rfam family "Bacterial small subunit ribosomal RNA", at positions 30 to 327 of the family's 1533-position model. The record is from RNAcentral.
AUUGAACGCUGGCGGCAUGCCUUACACAUGCAAGUCGAACGGCAGCACGGGAGCAAUCCUGGUGGCGAGUGGCGAACGGGUGAGUAAUAUAUCGGAACGUGCCCAGUCCGUGGGGGAUAACGGUAGCGAAAGCUACGCUAAUACCGCAUACGAUCUAUGGAUGAAAGCGGGGGAGUCGCAGACCUCGCGCGAUUGGAGCGGCCGAUAUCAGAUUAGGUAGUUGGUGAGGUAAAGGCUCACCAAGCCGACGAUCUGUAGCUGGUCUGAGAGGACGACCCAGCCACACUGGGACUGAGACAC